Molecule: long non-coding RNA, 574 nt
Filed under: Gallus gallus (chicken)
Lineage: Eukaryota; Metazoa; Chordata; Aves; Galliformes; Phasianidae
Source: RNAcentral
GGCAGCACCAAGCUUUCUUUAUAUCCACAGUCUAGCACCAUUGCAGAGUUGAUCCCAAGCGUCAGAAGAGACAUGAGAUGGCUUGGAGCAAACAAGACAGAAGGUACCUCAAAAUGCUUGAAAAGGACUCUUGCAAGAGUGUCUCUGAAGUGGGAAGGACAGAGGACAGAUUCUAUGAUCACAACACGACGGUCUCUGGGAUUCACCAGCAGAUGCCUGAAAUAUAACAUAUGAAUAAAUUCCUUCAGAUAUGAAUAUAGCUCCUCUGUGUUGAUAUUAUAUUGAACGACUUUGACAGGCUUAGAAACAUCAGGUUUCUUUAUUUCACUAGGAAUAAUGCAUCUUGGUCCUGUUUCACCUGCAAAACCACACUUGGUGAAGGCCUCGCCCAGGUCGAGCACCACCGCGGUCUUCUCCCCGCCGCUUCCCAGGCCCUCGUACAGCGGCAUCGCUGCUCCUCCGGACCCCCUCAGAACCGUACCGACAGAGGCGGAGCGUCCCUCUGCGGGUCCUUCCCGCUUUGGGCCCUCCCUCCUGCCGGCUCCCGGAGCUGCCCAUGGCGCCUGACCGUUUC